UCAAGGAAUUAAGAGUUUAUGGGGGAUACCUUGGCAUUCAGAAGCGAUGAAGGACGUGGUUACCGACGAAACGCUUCGGGGAGCUGGAAACAAGCUAAGAUCCGGAGGUCUCCGAAUGAGGAAACUUUAAUACUACUUAUUGAAUCCAUAAAUAAGAAAGAGCGAACCUAGGGAAUUGAAACAUCUUAGUACCUAGAGGAAUAGAAAGUAAAAACGAUUCCCUUAGUAGCGGCGAGCGAAACGGGAAAAGCCUAAACUUAAUUAAAAUUAAGGGUAGCGGGACAAUUGUGAAUGAUUAAAUGUGACAAUUAGAUGAACCUAGUUGGAAUGCUAGACCAAAGAGAGUGAUAGUCUCGUAAUCGAAAAUUGAAACAAUCAAAUUGAAUCCCAAGUAGCAUGGAGCACGUGAAAUUCCGUGUGAAUCAGCGAGGACCACCUCGUAAGGCUAAAUAUUCCUGAAUGACCGAUAGUGAAAUAGUACCGUGAGGGAAAGGUGAAAAGAACCCCGGGAGGGGAGUGAAAAGAACAUGAAACCAUAAACUUACAAUCAGUAGGAGGACGACUAAAACGUCUGACUGCGUGCCUGUUGAAGAAUGAGCCGGCGACUUAUAGGUAGUGGCAGGUUAAGGCAGAGAAUGCUGGAGCCACAGUGAAAGCGAGCCUGAAUAGGGCGUUUGUCACUAUUUAUAGACCCGAACCCGGAUGAUCUAACCAUGGUCAGGUUGAAGCUUAGGUAAUACUAAGUGGAGGACCGAACCGACUGAUGUUGAAAAAUCAGCGGAUGAACUGUGGUUAGGGGUGAAAUGCCAAUCGAAUUCGGAGCUAGCUGGUUCUCCCCGAAAUGCGUUUAGGCGCAGCGAUAGAUGUUAUAACUUAGGGGUAAAGCACUGUUACGUAUGCGGGCUGGUAAUUCGGUACCAAAUCGUUGCAAACUAAGAAUACUAAGUGUAAAGUCUAUCAGUGAGACUGUGGGGGAUAAGCUCCAUUGUCAAGAGGGAAACAGCCCAGAGCACCAGUUAAGGCCCCUAAAUAAUUACUAAGUGGCAAAGGAAGUGGGAGUGCAUAGACAAUCAGGAGGUUUGCUUAGAAGCAGCAAUCCUUUAAAGAGUGCGUAAUAGCUCACUGAUCGAGUAAACCUGCGCCGAAAAUGUACGGGACUAAGUAAUUUGCCGAAACUGUGCGAUAUAGAAAUUAUAUCGGUAGGGGAGCGUUCUGUGGUAGGUUGAAGUAUUAGCGGAAGCGGAUAUGGACGAAGCAGAAGUGAGAAUGUCGGCUUGAGUAACGAAAAUAUAGGUGAGAAUCCUAUACCCCGAAAACCCAAGGGUUCCUCCGGAAGGCUCGUCCGCGGAGGGUAAGUCAGGACCUAAGGCGAGGCUGAAAAGCGUAGUCGAUGGACAACGGGUUAAUAUUCCCGUACCGUUAUUUGUUGAUAUCGAGGGACGGAGAAGGCUAAACUGGCCGGAUGUUGGUUACCGGUUGAAACGUUCGAGAUGAUGAGAAACGGCGAAAACGUUUUGAGUUGAGACGUGAGUACGAGAGGCUACGGCCUCGAAGCAGUCUAUGUCAUACUUCCAAGAAAAGCUCGCAAUGUCAUAAACAAAUAAUGCCUGUACCAUAACCGACACAGGUGGGUAGGUAGAGUAUACUAAGGGGCGCGAGAUAACUCUCUCUAAGGAACUCGGCAAAAUGACUCCGUAACUUCGGGAGAAGGAGUGCCUUAUUUGUAAGGUUGCAAUAACAAGAUCCAAGCAACUGUUUACCAAAAACACAGGUCUCCGCUAAGUCGUAAGACGAUGUAUGGGGGCUGACGCCUGCCCAGUGCCAGAAGGUUAAAGAAGUCGGUUAGCAUUCGCGAAGCUGGUAACUGAAGCCCUGGUGAACGGCGGCCGUAACUAUAACGGUCCUAAGGUAGCGAAAUUCCUUGUCGGGUAAGUUCCGACCCGCACGA
This 1948-nucleotide ribosomal RNA is filed under the name hot springs metagenome. Its description in RNAcentral is "bacterial LSU rRNA". It matches the Rfam family "Bacterial large subunit ribosomal RNA", at positions 3 to 1995 of the family's 2925-position model. The record is from RNAcentral.